ACUCAUACCUUGUAGGGGAAAUGCCAUGUUGUAAAAAUUGUUUUCCCAGGCUCAUCCAUUGCACUUUGAGUGUCCUGUUGAUCCCUGUGAUUUCCCCAAAUGUGGGGAACUCAACUACAUAGUUUGUGAUAAUGGGGGCAUUAUGUUUGUGAUUUCUCUG
RNAcentral lists this small nuclear RNA (160 nucleotides) under Pogona vitticeps (central bearded dragon). RNAcentral describes it as "U1 spliceosomal RNA (ENSPVIG00000012467.1)". It matches the Rfam family "U1 spliceosomal RNA". From Rfam's summary of the family: U1 is a small nuclear RNA (snRNA) component of the spliceosome (involved in pre-mRNA splicing). Its 5' end forms complementary base pairs with the 5' splice junction, thus defining the 5' donor site of an intron. There are significant differences in sequence and secondary structure between metazoan and yeast U1 snRNAs, the latter being much longer (568 nucleotides as compared to 164 nucleotides in human). Lineage: Eukaryota; Metazoa; Chordata; Lepidosauria; Squamata; Agamidae. The record is from RNAcentral.